Molecule: non-coding RNA, 618 nt
Organism: Mauremys mutica (yellowpond turtle)
Lineage: Eukaryota; Metazoa; Chordata; Testudines; Geoemydidae
Source: the annotation of a RefSeq genome assembly
AUGGGAUUUUUGCUCCUUGUAAUUUUCGCUGUAGCCGCUUUGGAAGGUGUCCGGUCCCAGGUGCAGCUGGUGGAGUCCGGAGGGGAUGUGAAAAAGCCCGGAGACUCUCUCCGCCUCUCCUGCAAAGCCUCCGGGUUCGACUUCAGCAGCUAUUACAUGAGCUGGGUCCGACAGGCUCCUGGCAAAGGACUAGAAUGGGUCGCUUAUCUCAACAGCGUUGGGGGUGAUAUACAAUACCUUGAUUCAGUGAAAGGCCGAUUCACCAUCUCCCGGGAUAAUCCCAAGAGUGAGCUGUAUCUGCAAAUGACCGGCCUGAAGCCCGAGGACACCGCCCGCUAUUACUGUCAUCAAGCCCCAGCUCUCCUCGGGCAACAAAGUGCCACCAACUGCCUGGAUGUGUCGGGCAGCGGCCCUCCGGGCUACAGCUACAAAGUCUGCCAUUACCCCGGAGUCUGCCAAGAGCCAGUUCAUGUUCCUAAAGCCCGAGUCCCCAGAGGAACAGCGAGAGCUGCCGAGAACUCGCCAGGGUCGGGAAGGAAGACCCUGGAGGCCAGUAACACCGUCAGUGCCACCAGCCAGGUAACCCUGCGCUGCAGUACAGCCGGUGGGGCUCAGUGA